CACAUACUCCCUCCGUUCGGAAUUAUUUGUCCAAGAAAUAAAUGUAUCUAGAUGUAUUUUAGUUGUAGAUACAUCCAUUUUUAUUCACUUUUGUGAUAAGUAAUUUCAAACAGAGGGAGUAUGUU
Triticum aestivum (bread wheat) is the source of this 125-nucleotide non-coding RNA. The record is from Rfam. NCBI's taxonomy places the organism in Eukaryota, Viridiplantae, Streptophyta, Magnoliopsida, Poales, Poaceae.